Molecule: long non-coding RNA, 328 nt
Filed under: Mytilus galloprovincialis (Mediterranean mussel)
Lineage: Eukaryota; Metazoa; Mollusca; Bivalvia; Mytilida; Mytilidae
Source: RNAcentral
AAGAAAGAAAGAUAAUAACAAGGAGUACAAGAAAGAAGGAUAAUAACAAGGAGUACAGGAAAGAAGGAUAAUAACAAGGAGUACAGGAAAGAAAGAUAAUAACAAGGAGUACAGGAAAGAAAGAUAAUAACAGGAUACAGGAAAGAAGACAAUAACAAGAGUACAGGAAAGAAGGACAAUAACAAGGAGUACAGGAAAGAAAUAACAAGGAGUACAGGAAAGAAAGAUAAUAACAAGGAGUACAGGAAAGAAGGAUAAUAACAAGGACUACAAGAAAGAAAGAUAAUAACAAGGAGUACAAGAAAGAAGGAUAAUAACAAGGACUACA